This is a long non-coding RNA of Mercurialis annua (annual mercury), 558 nucleotides long. RefSeq lists it as uncharacterized. The transcript has 2 exons. The record is from RefSeq and is a predicted model, not a curated record. NCBI's taxonomy places the organism in Eukaryota, Viridiplantae, Streptophyta, Magnoliopsida, Malpighiales, Euphorbiaceae.
AGAUUGAGUCCCUAUUCAUUUGUCAAACAUGUCUUUCCUUAAGCCACUCACUCUACAAACAAAAGUUAGCUCUGAUAAAUUUGCACAAUUAUAAUAGCGUGGUAGUUGUGCAUUCAAUUUCCAACAGUACUAAAAUUCAUCAGUCAUGUAGUAUUAAAAGCAAUUCAACAAUUAUAGACGCACUCUUCAUCACUACGGGGCUAGACCUGCAAAAAAAAAUAUUGGAAGAUUCAAAAUAUAUCUUUAUUCACUGUGAAUCACGGACAGCCUUUCCUUUGUAUUUUUUUGCAUAUCCUUUCUCUAUCUCUUUUUUCGAGGCAAGAAAAUGGAGUCCUAUUUUGCAAUCCAACUUGCUUUACCAUUCAAAUAUAAAUUGAUUGGUGUCAUAUUGUGCCUCACACAACUUGCCGCACUGAGGUCUGUCCAUCAACACACGCAUAUCUCAUAUAAGGUAAUAAAAUUUUAACAUUGUCAAACAAUACAUAUGUGCGUGCUUUGUGUUUGUAGAAAAAUGUGAAAAAUAUUAUUUAUAAAAAAUUAAAUUGAUUGUCUAUCAAA